RNAcentral lists this ribosomal RNA (389 nucleotides) under Hibberdia magna. RNAcentral's name for it is "partial small subunit ribosomal RNA". It matches the Rfam family "Eukaryotic small subunit ribosomal RNA", at positions 30 to 432 of the family's 1831-position model. Lineage: Eukaryota; Chrysophyceae; Hibberdiales; Hibberdiaceae. The record is from RNAcentral.
GCUUGUCUCAAAGAUUAAGCCAUGCACGUCUAAGUAUAAGCGAUUAUACUGUGAAACUGCGAAUGGCUCAUUAUAUCAGUUAUAGUUUAUUUGAUGGUCCUUGCUACUUGGAUAACCGUAGUAAUUCUAGAGCUAAUACAUGCAUAAAUCCCCGACUGCUUGGAAGGGGUGUAUUUAUUAGAUGGAAACCAAUGCGGGGCAACCCGGAAUUCGGUGAUUCAUAAUAACUUUCGGACCGGUUUACCGGUACAUCAUUCAAGUUUCUGCCCUAUCAGCUUUGGAUGGUAGGGUAUUGGCCUACCAUGGCUUUAACGGGUAACGGAGAAUUAGGGUUCGAUUCCGGAGAGGGAGCCUGAGAAAUGGCUACCACAUCCAAGGAAGGCAGCAGG